AAGGAGCUCUCUCUGUAUAUUUAUAUCCCUAGCAGGGCGUUCAUGGAUCAUCUGACACCUCGGGAUGGUCCUGGGGGAUGACAACGAGACACCCGGCACUCCACAGCGUGUUUUGGCAGGCAGGAAGGGGUGGGAACCCCGUGCCCCCCUUUCCUCCCGCAAGCCUUCGUGUUCCUUUUUGGCACAUCCCCGCAAAGAGGAGCGAGAUGCAAAACCCUGCCAAGGCUUCUCGUGGAAUAGAUGACAUUUACAUUGUUAUGCAGUUUGCUGAUCUAAACAUACCAUUGCCUUGCCUUGAUAGCCCAGGGCAAGUGAUAAUCAGCUUGUUUGGUGGGCACCCUGCCAUCUGAGACGGGGGGACACAAAUAGAGACAGUUUGUGCAUCAUCCACCAGCCUUGCAGGAACACGAUUCCCAGCUGAGAGCAUGGAAAUGUGUCUGUCUCCUGAGCGUGUGCAUGUUGGCAUGGCAAAGAGAAGUGACAGCGAUAAAUAGAAUGGGUUUGGAAUAAAUCAGGGUUGUGUUUUGUGGCUGCUCCGAGUUGGAUUUUCACGGGUGGAAAUGGUGGAAGCUCUGGGAGGCACCAAAGUCGGUCAGCUGGGCUGAGACCCCGUGGGAGCUCUGCUUCUCUCUCCAUCCCCAGAAGAUGUUUGGUGUCACAGACGAGUGCUGGUGGCAGACUGAGGGAGAAGGAAUAACCCCAGCACUGUGGAACACAGGGGUCUGCCAGUGCUGGCGAAGCCUUUUUUGAGAAGCACACAGAAAAUCUGCCAUCCCAACCCCAAAUCUCCUUCCCACUGGCCACCAGCCUGAGCAGGAGCUGUGUCCAGGUGCUCCAUCCCAGCUCUGACUCCUGAUGGAUAUUUCCCUAUUCCUGAUCUCCUUUUUGGCAGCUGGGUGAGAAGGGAAUGCCACGGCCAAGGAGGGAAUGCCAGGGAGGGAUUGCCAAGGUUCAGGCUGAAUUCCAAGGGGACAGGAGUGCUGUGUGUCACCUCUGCACCAGGGUCAGUGCCUUGUGAGCCCUGAGGAG
Molecule: non-coding RNA, 1029 nt
Organism: Zonotrichia albicollis (white-throated sparrow)
Lineage: Eukaryota; Metazoa; Chordata; Aves; Passeriformes; Passerellidae
Source: RefSeq, a predicted model, not a curated record